This 238-nucleotide ribosomal RNA is filed under the name uncultured bacterium. RNAcentral describes it as "partial 16S ribosomal RNA". It matches the Rfam family "Bacterial small subunit ribosomal RNA", at positions 28 to 257 of the family's 1533-position model. The record is from RNAcentral.
GAUGAACGCUAGCGGCAGGCUUAAUACAUGCAAGUCGAGGGGCAGCGUGUUCCGUAGCAAUACGGGAUGAUGGCGACCGGCAAACGGGUGCGGAACACGUACGCAACCUACCCAAAACUGAUGAAUAGCCCUCCGAAAGGAGGAUUAAUACAUCGUAACUUAAUGAAGUGGCAUCACUUUAUUAAUAUAGCUCCGGCGGUUUUGGAUGGGCGUGCGCCUGAUUAGGUAGUUGGCGGGU